RNAcentral lists this ribosomal RNA (860 nucleotides) under Auricularia cornea. RNAcentral describes it as "partial large subunit ribosomal RNA". It matches the Rfam family "Eukaryotic large subunit ribosomal RNA", at positions 66 to 915 of the family's 3401-position model. Lineage: Eukaryota; Fungi; Basidiomycota; Agaricomycetes; Auriculariales; Auriculariaceae. The record is from RNAcentral.
UAACAAGGAUUCCCCUAGUAACGGCGAGUGAAGAGGGAAGAGCUCAAAUUUGAAAUCUGACGGUCUCAGGCCGUCCGAGUUGUAAUCUAGAGAGGUGUUUUCCGUGCCGGACCGUGUACAAGUCCCUUGGAACAGGGCGUCAUAGAGGGUGAGAAUCCCGUCCAUGACACGGACUACCGGUGCUCUGUGAUACACCUUCAAAGAGUCGAGUUGUUUGGGAAUGCAGCUCAAAAUGGGUGGUAAAUUCCAUCUAAAGCUAAAUACAGGCGAGAGACCGAUAGCGAACAAGUACCGUGAGGGAAAGAUGAAAAGAACUUUGGAAAGAGAGUUAAACAGUACGUGAAAUUGUUGAAAGGGAAACGCUUGAAGUCAGUCGCGUCUGCCAGGACUCAGCCUUGCUUCUGCUUGGUGCAUUUCUUGGUGGAUGGGCCAGCAUCGAUUUUGAUUGCCGGAAAAGGGCGGGAGGAAUGUGGCAGCUUUUGCUGUGUUAUAGCCUUCUGUCGUACACGGUGGUUGGGAUCGAGGACUGCAGCACGCCUUUGGUCGGGGUUCGCCCACGCCACGUGCUUAGGAUGCUGGCGUAAUGGCUUUAAACGACCCGUCUUGAAACACGGACCAAGGAGUCUAACAUGCCUGCGAGUGUUUGGGUGCAAAACCCAGGCGCGUAAUGAAAGUGAAAAGUUGGGACUCUUUAGUGAGGCACCGACGCCCGACCCUGAAGUCUUCUGACGGGUUUGAGGCAGAGCAUGUAUGUUGGGACCCGAAAGAUGGUGAACUAUGCCUGAAUAGGGUGAAGCCAGAGGAAACUCUGGUGGAGGCUCGUAGCGAUUCUGACGUGCAAAUCGAUCGUCAAAUUUGGG